This 75-nucleotide transfer RNA is filed under the name bioreactor metagenome. RNAcentral describes it as "tRNA-Pro". It matches the Rfam family "tRNA". From Rfam's summary of the family: Transfer RNA (tRNA) molecules are approximately 80 nucleotides in length. Their secondary structure includes four short double-helical elements and three loops (D, anti-codon, and T loops). The record is from RNAcentral.
CGGGUGUAGCGCAGUUGGUAGCGCGCAUGGUUCGGGACCAUGAGGCCGUGGGUUCAAAUCCCGCCACUCGGACCA